CACGUAGGGCGCAAGCGUUGUCCGGAAUUAUUGGGCGUAAAGAGCUCGUAGGCGGUCUGUUGCGUCCGCUGUGAAAACUCGGGGCUUAACCCCGAGCCUGCAGUGGAUACGGGCAGACUAGAGGUAGGUAGGGGAGAAUGGAAUUCCCGGUGUAGCGGUGAAAUGCGCAGAUAUCAGGAGGAACACCGGUGGCGAAGGCGGCUCACUGGACCGGUACUGACGCUGAUGCGCGAAAGCGUGGGGAGCAAACAGG
RNAcentral lists this ribosomal RNA (253 nucleotides) under uncultured bacterium. RNAcentral describes it as "partial 16S ribosomal RNA". It matches the Rfam family "Bacterial small subunit ribosomal RNA", at positions 524 to 776 of the family's 1533-position model. The record is from RNAcentral.